ACCUACGGGAGGCAGCAGUAGGGAAUUUUCGUCAAUGGGCGCAAGCCUGAACGAGCAAUGCCGCGUGAACGAGGAAGGUCUUCGGAUCGUAAAGUUCUGUUGAAGGGGAAAAAGAGCGGAGAGAGGAAAUGCUUUCUGAUUGAUAUUACCCUUCGAGGAAGUCACGGCUAACUACGUGCCAGCAGCCGCGGUAAUACGUAGGUGGCGAGCGUUAUCCGGACUGAUUGGGCGUAAAGGGUGCGUAGGCGGCCUGCUAAGUCUGGAGUGAAAGGUACCGGCUCAACCGGUACAGGCUCUGGAAACUG
RNAcentral lists this ribosomal RNA (305 nucleotides) under uncultured bacterium. RNAcentral's name for it is "bacterial SSU rRNA". It matches the Rfam family "Bacterial small subunit ribosomal RNA", at positions 337 to 635 of the family's 1533-position model. The record is from RNAcentral.